AGUGAACGCUGGCGGUAGGCCUAACACAUGCAAGUCGAACGGCAGCACAGUAAGAGCUUGCUCUUACGGGUGGCGAGUGGCGGACGGGUGAGGAAUACAUCGGAAUCUACUUUUUCGUGGGGGAUAACGUAGGGAAACUUACGCUAAUACCGCAUACGACCUACGGGUGAAAGCAGGGGAUCUUCGGACCUUGCGCGAUUGAAUGAGCCGAUGUCGGAUUAGCUAGUUGGCGGGGUAAAGGCCCACCAAGGCGACGAUCCUUGGCUGGUCUGAGAGGAUGAUCAGCAAACCUGGAAUUGAGCCACGGUCCAAACUCCUACGGGAGGCAGCAGUGGGGAAUAUUGGACAAUGGGGGCAAGCCUGAUCCAGCCAUACCGCGUGGGUAAAGAAGGCCUUCGGUUUGUAAAGCCCUUUUGUUGGGAAAGAAAAGCAGCAGGUUAAUACCCCGCUGUUCUGACGGUACCCAAAGAAUAAGCACCGGCUAACUUCGUG
This 492-nucleotide ribosomal RNA is filed under the name uncultured bacterium. Its description in RNAcentral is "partial 16S ribosomal RNA". It matches the Rfam family "Bacterial small subunit ribosomal RNA", at positions 29 to 507 of the family's 1533-position model. The record is from RNAcentral.